GACGGAGGGGGCUAGCGUUGUUCGGAAUGACUGGGCGUAAAGGGCGCGUAGGCGGUCGAUCAAGUCAGGCGUGAAAGCCUCGGGCUUAACCUGAGAACUGCGCUUGAUACUGGUUGACUUGAGGACGAGAGAGGAAAGUGGAAUUCCGAGUGUAGAGGUGAAAUUCGUAGAUAUUCGGAGGAACAUCAGAGGCGAAGGCGGCUUUCUGGCUCGUCCCUGACGCUGAGGCGCGAAAGCGUGGGGAGCAAACAGG
RNAcentral lists this ribosomal RNA (253 nucleotides) under uncultured bacterium. RNAcentral's name for it is "partial 16S ribosomal RNA". It matches the Rfam family "Bacterial small subunit ribosomal RNA", at positions 524 to 776 of the family's 1533-position model. The record is from RNAcentral.